This 376-nucleotide ribosomal RNA is filed under the name uncultured bacterium. Its description in RNAcentral is "bacterial SSU rRNA". It matches the Rfam family "Bacterial small subunit ribosomal RNA", at positions 524 to 898 of the family's 1533-position model. The record is from RNAcentral.
AACGUAGGGGGCGAGCGUUGUCCGGAAUUACUGGGCGUAAAGGGCGUGUAGGCGGCCCGUGAAGUCAAGAGUGAAAACUCGGGGCUCAACCUCGAGAUUGCUUUUGAAACCAGCGGGCUUGAGUGCAGGAGAGGAAAGUGGAAUUCCCAGUGUAGCGGUGAAAUGCGUAGAUAUUGGGAGGAACACCAGUGGCGAAAGCGGCUUUCUGGCCUGUAACUGACGCUGAGGCGCGAAAGCGUGGGGAGCAAACAGGAUUAGAUACCCUGGUAGUCCACGCCGUAAACGAUGGGUGCUAAGUGUUGGGGGUAUCGACCCCCUCAGUGCUGUAGUUAACGCAAUAAGCACCCCGCCUGGGGAGUACGGUCGCAAGACUGAA